AUACGUAGGUGGCAAGCGUUGUCCGGAUUUAUUGGGCGUAAAGCGAGCGCAGGCGGUUUCUUAAGUCUGAUGUGAAAGCCCUCGGCUCAACCGAGGAAGGUCAUUGGAAACUGGGGAACUUGAAUGCAGAAGAGGAGAGUGGAAUUCCAUGUGUAGCGGUGAAAUGCGUAGAUAUAUGGAGGAACACCAGUGGCGAAGGCGACUCUCUGGUCUGUAAUUGACGCUGAGGCUCGAAAGCGUGGGGAGC
RNAcentral lists this ribosomal RNA (247 nucleotides) under uncultured bacterium. RNAcentral's name for it is "partial 16S ribosomal RNA". It matches the Rfam family "Bacterial small subunit ribosomal RNA", at positions 523 to 769 of the family's 1533-position model. The record is from RNAcentral.